This 522-nucleotide ribosomal RNA is filed under the name uncultured Glomus. RNAcentral describes it as "SSU rRNA". It matches the Rfam family "Eukaryotic small subunit ribosomal RNA", at positions 569 to 1092 of the family's 1831-position model. Lineage: Eukaryota; Fungi; Glomeromycota; Glomeromycetes; Glomerales; Glomeraceae. The record is from RNAcentral.
AGCAGCCGCGGUAAUUCCAGCUCCAAUAGCGUAUAUUAAAGUUGUUGCAGUUAAAAAGCUCGUAGUUGAAUUUCGGGGUUAGUAGGUUGGUCAUGCCUCUGGUAUGUACUGGUCUCACUGAUUCCUCCUUCCUGAUGAGCCGUAAUGCCAUUAAUUUGGUGUUGCGGGGAAUUUGGACUGUUACUUUGAAAAAAUUAGAGUGUUUAAAGCAAGCUAACGCUUGAAUACAUUAGCAUGGAAUAAUGAAAUGGGACGUUCGAUCCUAUUUUGUUGGUUUCUAGGAUUGACGUAAUGAUUAAUAGGGAUAGUUGGGGGCAUUAGUAUUCAAUUGUCAGAGGUGAAAUUCUUGGAUUUAUUGAAGACUAACUACUGCGAAAGCAUUUGCCAAGGAUGUUUUCAUUAAUCAAGAACGAAAGUUAGGGGAUCGAAGACGAUCAGAUACCGUCGUAGUCUUAACCAUAAACUAUGCCGACUAGGGAUCGGAUGAUGUUAAUUUUUUAAUGACUCAUUCGGCGCCUUACG